AACGAUAAUUAGCAACAAAUUGAAAGAUUGGGCCGCAAAGCAAUGGGUCUAAAUCGAGCGAUUUCGAUAUGACAGCCGGGCUGCCGAA
Molecule: non-coding RNA, 88 nt
Filed under: Bacillus sp. (in: firmicutes)
Lineage: Bacteria; Bacillati; Bacillota; Bacilli; Caryophanales; Bacillaceae
Also listed under: 1 other name
Description: Bacillus sp. c-di-GMP sequence
Rfam family: c-di-GMP-I riboswitch aptamer
About the family: GEMM was predicted in a large-scale screen for bacterial structured RNA regulatory elements. Genes associated with GEMM are involved in a diverse array of functions, including chemotaxis regulation, signal transduction, secretion and chitin.
Source: RNAcentral